UACGUAGGGUGCGAGCGUUAAUCGGAAUUACUGGGCGUAAAGCGUGCGCAGGCGGUUUGGCAAGUCAGAUGUGAAAGCCCCGGGCUCAACCUGGGAACUGCGUUUGAAACUACCAAGCUAGAGUCUGUCAGAGGGGGGUAGAAUUCCACGUGUAGCAGUGAAAUGCGUAGAGAUGUGGAGGAAUACCGAUGGCGAAGGCAGCCCCCUGGGAUAAGACUGACGCUCAGGCACGAAAGCGUGGGGAGCAAACAGG
Molecule: ribosomal RNA, 253 nt
Filed under: uncultured bacterium
Lineage: Bacteria
Description: partial 16S ribosomal RNA
Rfam family: Bacterial small subunit ribosomal RNA
Source: RNAcentral